GUGGGGAAUAUUGGACAAUGGGCGAAAGCCUGAUCCAGCCAUGCCGCGUGUGUGAAGAAGGUCUUCGGAUUGUAAAGCACUUUAAGUUGGGAGGAAGGGCAGUAAGUUAAUACCUUGCUGUUUUGACGUUACCGACAGAAUAAGCACCGGCUAACUUCGUGCCAGCAGCCGCGGUAAUACGAAGGGUGCAAGCGUUAAUCGGAAUUACUGGGCGUAAAGCGCGCGUAGGUGGCUUUGUAAGUUGGAGGUGAAAUCCCCGGGCUCAACCUGGGAACUGCCUCCAAAACUACUGAGCUAGAGUACGGUAGAGGGUAGUGGAAUUUCCUGUGUAGCGGUGAAAUGCGUAGAUAUAGGAAGGAACACCAGUGGCGAAGGCGACUACCUGGACUGAUACUGACACUGAGGUGCGAAAGCGUGGGGAGCAAACAGGAUUAGAAACCCCGGUAGUCC
Molecule: ribosomal RNA, 450 nt
Filed under: uncultured bacterium
Lineage: Bacteria
Description: partial 16S ribosomal RNA
Rfam family: Bacterial small subunit ribosomal RNA
Source: RNAcentral